UAGGGAAUCUUCCACAAUGGACGAAAGUACUGAUGGAGCAACGCCGCGUGAGUGAAGAAGGUUUUCGGAUCGUAAAACUCUGUUGGUAGAGAAGAACGUUGGUGAGAGUGGAAAGCUCAUCAAGUGACGGUAACUACCCAGAAAGGGACGGCUAACUACGUGUCAG
Molecule: ribosomal RNA, 166 nt
Filed under: uncultured bacterium
Lineage: Bacteria
Description: partial 16S rRNA
Rfam family: Bacterial small subunit ribosomal RNA
Source: RNAcentral